CAGGCUUUUCCUUCUCUCUAUCGCGAACCCUUCAUGAGCACGCUAGCGAGGAAAAAGACACAGCGAUUUACUGAGACGAGGUCGGGAGUUAGAGACAAUGCCAAUUCAUCAUUCCUGCGCCAUCUCGCGCUGCUCCGCCUUUCUUUUCUGAGAUCGGUCAGGGUUUUUUUUGUGUUUCCCUUUGUAUCUUCCUUUUGAUGCAUUGCAACGGAUCCUGUAAUCGAUGGCGAGCCAACCCCGUUGAAGGACCAUUUGACUUUGUUCUGUGCUGCACAGCAGAGUGUGGUAGGCCAGCUGCAACAAAACAAAAACACACCACGCCUCUUUGAACUUACUGUUCCCUUUCUUCACACACAUCCCCCUGGACUUACGGACGGUUUAUUUUAAGGACUUUUUACGGAGUCUAUACAUCCCACGAACAGGAAGGGAAGUGGGUGUGGGCGGCUGGAUUUCUUUUUCCAGCUUAAUGGUUGUUGCACCUUGUUUACAAAGUCUAUGAAGUUACAAACAAAUGUUGCCAUUUGGAUUUUGCUAAUUGAUAUUGUGGUUCAUUUUGAAAGUGAACUUUGUACAUUUAGAAGGGUGCACCCAGGUAAGGGUUUUUUAAAGUGAUUACUGUGAUUGUACCACAGGGUUGUCACUGAGGAAAAUACUGGUACCAAAAACAGAGACUUUUAUUUAUAAUGUUUUGUAUGUUUGUAAUUUUCUUUCUUUUGUUUCUGGAUGACUAAAAAUACAAAGCCGGCAUUUUUCAAAACUCACAGUUGCCUGAGUCUCACUCAGUUUGCCUCUCCUGUACGUAGCCGAACCUACUGGUCCAAAUCAUUGAGCUCUUUUGCAUCAAAUUUGGGUGAAGUACCUUUUGGUCUUAGAGUAUUAGAGACACAUUAGUGUUACAAAUGCAUACAUGCACCACCCUCACAUACUUCUCUGCCACUUCUGACUUGUUAAUGUAGUACCACAGUUCCUGUCUUGGGAACUCUAACACAAUGACAGUUCAACUUGACCUUCUCUAUACUUCUUCAUCAACUGUUAAAGAAUUUUUAUAUGUAUUAUGCCUUAUUGUAGUUAAAAAUCCCUAGUUGUUUAGCCUCAUUUAAACUCUUGCAUAUACUGUGUUUGCUGACAAAGCUUGCAUGAGGAAGCUGCUAUAGGAAGCCUCACCCUUUGCUGAGUUUACUGAGAUAAGCUUGACCAGUUCCUGUUGUGACAGUUUGAACAUAUAUGUUUUAUGCUUAUCACCUUGUAAGGAGUUGUUUUGUACUCACAAGGGGUGGCGCCCUGAAAUGUGCUACGUAAGAGCUGUCUAUAAAUAAAGAGAGAACC
Long non-coding RNA from Oreochromis aureus, 1326 nucleotides. RefSeq lists it as uncharacterized. The transcript has 3 exons. The record is from RefSeq and is a predicted model, not a curated record. Lineage: Eukaryota; Metazoa; Chordata; Actinopteri; Cichliformes; Cichlidae.